Molecule: long non-coding RNA, 1259 nt
Organism: Neopsephotus bourkii (Bourke's parrot)
Lineage: Eukaryota; Metazoa; Chordata; Aves; Psittaciformes; Psittacidae
Exons: 3
Source: RefSeq, a predicted model, not a curated record
CAUUAUUUUUUUGAUUUGCAGUACCUGCGGAGGUCCAAAAGUCUGCAUAGAGUCCAGGCUACAAAGCAGUGGCAGGGAAGGUUUUCCUUCUGUUUCAUGCUUGUUCCUGAUCCCUGGAGAGGAGAUUCAAACCCAAGGUAGGACAGGACUUCUCCUGAAUAAGUUUGUCAGGGCUGCAGCAUGGCAGGUUACGGAAGGCAUAUCUUCCUGUGUGAGAACAGCACUGAAAUAGCUGCCAUAUUCCUGCAGAGAUACCAGCCACCAAAAGACAUGCUGACAUAUGAGGUGCUACUGCUUUUAGCCAUGAACGUCCCCUAUCUUGAGAGCACCAGACAGACCAGCUUUCCUGGAAGUACUGGGCUAGAAGUCUGACUCAAGUUAGGGACCUAAACUGUUACUUGGAUUUCAUAAAACUGCCUAUCCUGAUGUUAUAAAAGAGUUAAUUUUGUGGCAACUAUAAUUAUGAAACACAGAGGAAAUGAAAAUAUUGGCAGUGUUAUUUUUGUUCUGCCUAAGGUAGUGGGAAGAGUCUGAACCCUUUAGGUCUGCUGGGCCAGUACGGAAAACUCUCCACUGUCCUGAGAGCUGGCAGAUAUGUUUCAGUCCACCCAGGCUCCCUCAUGGCUUCCCCAGGCUGCUGUCUAUAGGCUUUUUUCUUUUGGUCUUCAUUCUUCUGGGAGUAAUUCCCUUUACAGAGUUUGGGGAUGAUUUUGUUGUCCAGGAAUUCUACAGUUUUUGUUUGAAGAUUAUUACACUGAAGAACUAACAUCUCAGGAGACGUGCUUUUUCCUUUGGGGUGACCUUCAAACUCCUUGGGACUCACAUCAAAGUGGAAAUCUUGAAUGUCAGUGCUCCCUGGUAAGUAACUGGUAUGAAGCAGCAUGUCCAAACAGCUCCACUGCUGGCUGCUGCCUUCCCACAGCAGGGUGUUUCCUCAGCUUUGUGACUGAGCAGCCAUAGGCUUUUCUGGGUGCUCCUGAGACCUGUGCACUGAAGAAGUGUUUCUACAGUGUGAGAAGGAUUAUUAAACUGAAGCUAACAGGUAGCUGGCCUGUUCCACAGCUGGGAAACCAACAGUGUGAACCACCAGUUCUGGUUUUAGACAUAACUGGCUUCUUUAAGGAUGCUGUCUGUGUUAAAAUCACCAUCAGUCUGUUACAUCCAGCUAUAUCUAUGGUUUGUUCUGUGAUGCUGGAAGCUGGUUAAAUACCAUAGCUUAUGUGGAUAUGUCAAAUGUGUCACCACCGAACAGAAGCUUU